This 875-nucleotide long non-coding RNA is filed under the name Lactuca sativa (garden lettuce). RNAcentral describes it as "long non-coding RNA (LSAT_LNC000012)". Lineage: Eukaryota; Viridiplantae; Streptophyta; Magnoliopsida; Asterales; Asteraceae. The record is from RNAcentral.
UAAAGUGUAUGGAUUUCGUGUUGAAGAAAGUGAAAUUAUUAGGCUCAUCAGUAGUUUAUGCUGUGCACUCGCUAAAUUCUAGUUCUCUUGUCUUGGGCUCCCGAUUGGUGAAAAUAUGAAGCUUUCACAAUAUUUGUAACGACCCAAAAAUCACGACUAAAAAUUUCUUUACUAACAUUACUAAAUCAUAUUUAUAAAAACUGUAUCAUAAGUCAUAACAAAAUUUUCGAGUAUUAAUUCAAAACAUAUUAUCAUUAUCAGAGUCAAACAUUUCCAGGUUAACUGACUAUGGUGUGUGCACUGCAAUCUUCCCGAGCUCCUCCUUUGAAAAACUGAGUACCUGAAACAAAAACUGAAAACCGUAAGCACGAAGCUUAGUGAGCUCCCCCAAUCUACCACAAACCAUGCAAUAACAUAUAAAGCACAUACUGGGCCCUACCCACUGCAUCGGACCGAAGUCCGGGCUAACUGGGGCCUUGCCCCCUCCAUCGAACCGAAGUCCGAAGCUGACUGACUGGGACCUUGUCCCCUACAUCGGACCGAAGUCCGAAGCUGACUGACUGGGACCUUGUCCCCUACAUCGGACCGAAGUCCGAAGCUGACUGACUGGGACCUUGUCCCCUACAUCGGACCGAAGUCCGAAGCUGACUGACUGAACACAGCAUAGCAUAACAUAUCAAUUAGCAUAAACACAUAAAUCCUGUGUGAGCCACGGAGGCGUCAAACAUACUAACUACUGCAUUGGAUCGAAGUCUAGAAACUACGGCUACUGAACGGGCCGGCAUUGUGGCCUUAGACCCGUUCCUACUAGAAGGAAACUCACCUGAGACUGCUGAACUGUUGCUGCUAAUCCUUUUGACUGCUACCUGACCUCU